GGUGAAAAGCACCCCGGAAGGGGAGUGAAAUAGAACCUGAAACCGUGUGCUUACAAGUAGUCAGAGCCCGUUAAUGGGUGAUGGCGUGCCUUUUGUAGAAUGAACCGGCGAGUUACGAUUUGAUGCAAGGUUAAGCAGUAAAUGUGGAGCCGUAGCGAAAGCGAGUCUGAAUAGGGCGUUUAGUAUUUGGUCGUAGACCCGAAACCAGGUGAUCUACCCUUGGUCAGGUUGAAGUUCAGGUAACACUGAAUGGAGGACCGAACCGACUUACGUUGAAAAGUGAGCGGAUGAACUGAGGGUAGCGGAGAAAUUCCAAUCGAACCUGGAGAUAGCUGGUUCUCUCCGAAAUAGCUUUAGGGCUAGCCUCAAGUGAUGAUUAUUGGAGGUAGAGCACUGUUUGGACGAGGGGCCCCUCUCGGGUUACCGAAUUCAGACAAACUCCGAAUGCCAAUUAAUUUAACUUGGGAGUCAGAACAUGGGUGAUAAGGUCCGUGU
RNAcentral lists this ribosomal RNA (495 nucleotides) under Staphylococcus aureus. RNAcentral describes it as "partial 23S ribosomal RNA". It matches the Rfam family "Bacterial large subunit ribosomal RNA", at positions 513 to 1010 of the family's 2925-position model. The record is from RNAcentral. Lineage: Bacteria; Bacillati; Bacillota; Bacilli; Caryophanales; Staphylococcaceae.